Molecule: non-coding RNA, 173 nt
Organism: Cajanus cajan (pigeon pea)
Lineage: Eukaryota; Viridiplantae; Streptophyta; Magnoliopsida; Fabales; Fabaceae
Source: Rfam
GGUGUUUGGAAUGAGGUUUGAUCCAAGAUCAUCACAUCAUGCAUAUAUCUUCUUCUUCUUCUUCUUCUUCUUCAAUUUCCCUUUUAUUUUCUUGAUUUACCUUCAUAUAUUUAUUAUCAUCACUUCAUGCAUGGGAUGGGACUGAUCUCGGACCAGGCUUCAUUCUUCACACC